RNAcentral lists this ribosomal RNA (1343 nucleotides) under uncultured bacterium. RNAcentral's name for it is "16S ribosomal RNA". It matches the Rfam family "Bacterial small subunit ribosomal RNA", at positions 28 to 1378 of the family's 1533-position model. The record is from RNAcentral.
GACGAACGCUGGCGGCGUGCUUAACACAUGCAAGUCGAACGGAAAGGCCCUGCUUUUGUGGGGUGCUCGAGUGGCGAACGGGUGAGUAACACGUGAGUAGCCUGCCCUUGACUUUGGGAUAACUUCAGGAAACUGGGGCUAAUACCGGAUAGGAGCUCCUGCUGCAUGGUGGGGGUUGGAAAGUUUCGGCGGUUGGGGAUGGACUCGCGGCUUAUCAGCUUGUUGGUGGGGUAGUGGCUUACCAAGGCUUUGACGGGUAGCCGGCCUGAGAGGGUGACCGGCCACAUUGGGACUGAGAUACGGCCCAGACUCCUACGGGGGGCAGCAGUGGGGAAUAUUGCACAAUGGGCGGAAGCCUGAUGCAGCAACGCCGCGUGCGGGAUGACGGCCUUCGGGUUGUAAACCGCUUUCGCCUGUGACGAAGCGUGAGUGACGGUAAUGGGUAAAGAAGCACCGGCUAACUACGUGCCAGCGGCCGCGGUGAUACGUAGGGUGCGAGCGUUGUCCGGAUUUAUUGGGCGUAAAGGGCUCGUAGGUGGUUGAUCGCGUCGGAAGUGUAAUCUUGGGGCUUAACCCUGAGCGUGCUUUCGAUACGGGUUGACUUGAGGAAGGUAGGGGAGAAUGGAAUUCCUGGUGGAGCGGUGGAAUGCGCAGAUAUCAGGAGGAACACCAGUGGCGAAGGCGGUUCUCUGGGCCUUUCCUGACGCUGAGGAGCGAAAGCGUGGGGAGCGAACAGGCUUAGAUACCCUGGUAGUCCACGCUGUAAACGGUGGGUACUAGGUGUGGGGUCCAUUCCACGGGUUCCGUGCCGUAGCUAACGCUUUAAGUACCCCGCCUGGGGAGUACGGCCGCAAGGCUAAAACUCAAAGGAAUUGACGGGGCCCCGCACAAGCGGCGGAGCAUGCGGAUUAAUUCGAUGCAACGCGUAGAACCUUACCUGGGUUUGACAUGGAUCGGGAGUGCUCAGAGAUGGGUGUGCCUCUUUUGGGGUCUGUUCACAGGUGGUGCAUGGCUGUCGUCAGCUCGUGUCGUGAGAUGUUGGGUUAAGUCCCGCAACGAGCGCAACCCUUGUUCACUGUUGCCAGCACGUUAUGGUGGGGACUCAGUGGAGACCGCCGGGGUCAACUCGGAGGAAGGUGGGGAUGACGUCAAGUCACCAUGCCCCUUAUGUCCAGGGCUUCACGCAUGCUACAAUGGCUGGUACAGAGAGUGGCGAGCCUGUGAGGGUGAGCGAAUCUCGGAAAGCCGGUCUCAGUUCGGAUUGGGGUCUGCAACUCGACCUCAUGAAGUCGGAGUCGCUAGUAAUCGCAGAUCAGCAACGCUGCGGUGAAUACGUUCCCGGG